RNAcentral lists this ribosomal RNA (500 nucleotides) under uncultured bacterium. RNAcentral's name for it is "partial 16S ribosomal RNA". It matches the Rfam family "Bacterial small subunit ribosomal RNA", at positions 29 to 523 of the family's 1533-position model. The record is from RNAcentral.
AUUGAACGCUGGCGGCAUGCUUUACACAUGCAAGUCGAACGGUAACAGGGAGCUUGCUCCGCUGACGAGUGGCGAACGGGUGAGUAAUAUAUCGGAACGUGCCCAAGAGUGGGGGAGAACGUAGCGAAAGUUACGCUAAUACCGCAUACGAUCCAAGGAUGAAAGCAGGGGACCUUCGGGCCUUCUGCUCCUGGAGCGGCCGAUAUCGUAUUAGCUAGUUGGUGAGGUAAAGGCUCACCAAGGCGACGAUCCGUAGCUGGUCUGAGAGGACGACGAGCCACACUGGAACUGAGACACGGUCCAGACUCCUACGGGAGGCAGCAGUGGGGAAUUUUGGACAAUGGGGGCAACCCUGAUCCAGCCAUGCCGCGUGCGGGAAGAAGGCCUUCGGGUUGUAAACCGCUUUCGGCCGGAACGAAAUCGCCGGGGACAACACCCCCGGUGGAUGACGGUACCGGAAGAAGAAGCACCGGCUAACUACGUGCCAGCCGCCGCAGUAA